Molecule: ribosomal RNA, 171 nt
Filed under: Cylindrocarpon sp. MH730
Lineage: Eukaryota; Fungi; Ascomycota; Sordariomycetes; Hypocreales; Nectriaceae
Description: 5.8S ribosomal RNA
Rfam family: 5.8S ribosomal RNA (bases 1-143)
About the family: 5.8S ribosomal RNA (5.8S rRNA) is a component of the large subunit of the eukaryotic ribosome. It is transcribed by RNA polymerase I as part of the 45S precursor that also contains 18S and 28S rRNA.
Source: RNAcentral
ACGGAUCUCUUGGUUCUGGCAUCGAUGAAGAACGCAGCGAAAUGCGAUAAGUAAUGUGAAUUGCAGAAUUCAGUGAAUCAUCGAAUCUUUGAACGCACAUUGCGCCCGCCGGUAUUCCGGCGGGCAUGCCUGUUCGAGCGUCAUUUCACCACUCAAGCCCAGCUUGGUGUU